ACCGGUUCCACCGCCUGCAGCCGCCCCGCUCUCGCGAGAUUAUAACCAGUCUGUCAUCGUGACGCGCCGGUGGGGCCGACGCAAGUCGGACAAAAAAAACUAACCGGCAUGCACCGUACCGAGCCAGGCGGCGAUCGGUCUGCGCAGCGCCGGGUUAAGUCGAACAAGCCUACUGUUUAUUCUGCUCUAGCACUGUUCUGGAAACUGCUUUUCGUGAUGCCACUCCUGCUGCCUGAGAGAAUCAAUAAACCAUUUUUAACCAGAAUUACAGACCAGUGUCAGGAGGCAGGAGAUCAGCAGUCAAUUAUGGCAGGACAAAACAUUUUCUAAUAAAUAAAAAUACUUGAAAUAAAAUAUUGAAAAAUGUG
Molecule: long non-coding RNA, 368 nt
Organism: Trichomycterus rosablanca
Lineage: Eukaryota; Metazoa; Chordata; Actinopteri; Siluriformes; Trichomycteridae
Exons: 2
Source: RefSeq, a predicted model, not a curated record